UAAGUACAGGAAUUUGUUCAUAGUGGGGUUUGCUGACAGCUGAAACAGCUGUUUCAUAUGUUCAUGGUUUGUCUGUGUUAGAUAGUUUAGGAAAAUUUUCUUGCUUCUUGUUUAUUGGAAAAUGCUGGGCUCCAUUGGUUUAAGGCUGUUUGGCUGCAUUUUACUGUGGUAGCCUAAGCAUUAUUCAUUUUCAUUGUGCCAGGUGCUGAA
This 210-nucleotide unclassified non-coding RNA is filed under the name Hevea brasiliensis (rubber tree). The record is from RNAcentral. Lineage: Eukaryota; Viridiplantae; Streptophyta; Magnoliopsida; Malpighiales; Euphorbiaceae.